RNAcentral lists this long non-coding RNA (1473 nucleotides) under Anas platyrhynchos platyrhynchos (common mallard). RNAcentral's name for it is "lncRNA (ENSAPLG00000021081.1)". Lineage: Eukaryota; Metazoa; Chordata; Aves; Anseriformes; Anatidae. The record is from RNAcentral.
ACAAGAGUUCUGCUUAGGACUGAGUCUGGACUUGGAGGGGUUGUGGCAGCCUGGGGCCUUUCCUGGGUAUGCUUUUGGAAGAGAUUUAAAAGAGCAAUACAAAACCCACGCUUUUGCGGAGUAUAAAGUUGUUGGAAUAAUUUCCACAGCUGGGAUAUUCCAAUAAGAGUUUUGUGAGACACUCAGCUAAGGAAAAAAUCCCUUUCACUCAUCAUAAAAAUAAUAACCUAAUGUAAUAUUAAAAACAAUUCAGUUAAAUAUUUAAGGCUGAAGAGCAACUCACUUAAUUUUCAGCCUAGCACUAUUUUCUAAUAGCGGGGGCAGCAUACUCAUAUCAUCCUUACUUAAGAAGGAACGGGUGUGUUGGUGGCAGGAGCUCCUUGGGGGAGCAGGGCUCAGGUGGGACAUCAGCCCAGCUGCAGAGGAUGGGGGGAGGAAGGGGAGGGCUGGCCACACUUGCAGGCUGGCUCUGAAAAGGAGCUGCAAAACCCAGCAUGAGAGGCUAUGAAGCUGAAGGAGUAAGACGGGGUGGUGGUACUAGCUGCUGCUGCUGUUGUCUGGGUGGAGUAGCUGAAAAACAUUGUGCAAGAAGGAAGAGAAGAUGUUCAAGCCCCAGGUCCUCUUGAGCUGAUAAUAUUUAUUAUGUAAAACCAGAAUGAAGUCCAGGAGCUUGAUACUUUAAAAACAUCAGAGCUGCAACAAUAUGUGGACCAAAACCAAGGGAGAGGUAAACGUGAGCCCAUGUAGAAAUGCCAUCAUGAAGGCCAAUGAGACCAUCAGCAUCUUGCGAUGGAAGACAAACAGGGGAAUUCCGAGAGUGGUGUAUGUGCCGCUUCUCCUGCAGGACAGAAACCAUUUGCCACACACUUAGAGCCUUGGCUUUCAAAAAGUGGUGCAACACAGUGCAGAAUCAGGGUCAACCACUGUUGCUGCUUUUUAAUAUCAGUAGAGAAAUGACUUUGCACUCAUCGCAUCAAGAGGAUUGUGAAGUUCAGAAAGUACCACCUGCUCUCUUAAGUGGACAGGGAUAAGAAGUGAUGCUGUAAGGAAGGUAAAAGUGAUACGAUAAGAUGUGAAAUGUAAUAGGGAAUGCAAGUAGUUACCAGCAAAACACCAAAAAGCAUCCUCAGUUUGUAAAGCUGUAAAUACCGCUGCUGUGAUCAGUUCCCGGGAAAAUACAGCAGAACAGGCCGUGUACUUGACCACUGAAGAUGUCAAGAUGUUGAAUGUGGUAUGUACCUGAUGUCUGAAGAUGUCAAGAUGUUGUUCAUCUAAUUUGCCCGGUUUAAAAAAGCCUCCAGCUUCUUGCCUUGCUGGAGUGCACCAACCUCCAUCUUCCCCUGGAGCAGCCCUGGGACCCCAGGACCCACCCGCCCAUCUCAGGCUGCUGCUGGAGCCCCAACACCCCCUGCAACCCACAACCUCUCCACCUGGAGUGCAAAUAAAAUAUUCCAUCAGGUUUUAUGUGCUACA